Molecule: ribosomal RNA, 550 nt
Filed under: Brachyramphus marmoratus
Lineage: Eukaryota; Metazoa; Chordata; Aves; Charadriiformes; Alcidae
Description: partial 12S ribosomal RNA
Rfam family: Bacterial small subunit ribosomal RNA
Source: RNAcentral
UAGGACUGAAGUGCAACUAAGCUGUCAUAAGCUCAAGAUGUACCUAAGGCCACCUUUAAGAUGAUCCUAGCGUUGCCUGACUAAUUUAACCCCACGAAAGCUAAGACACAAACUGGGAUUAGAUACCCCAUUAUGCCUAGCCCUAAAUCUUGAUGCUUGCCAUACCAAAGCAUCCGCCUGAGAACUACGAGCACAAACGCUUAAAACUCUAAGGACUUGGCGGUGCCCCAAACCCACCUAGAGGAGCCUGUUCUGUAAUCGAUAACCCACGAUUCACCCGACCGCCCCUUGCCAAUGCAGCCUACAUACCGCCGUCGCCAGCCCACCUCUCCUGAGAGCCCUACAGUGAGCACAAUAGCCUAAACCCGCUAACAAGACAGGUCAAGGUAUAGCCCAUGGAGCGGAAGAAAUGGGCUACAUUUUCUACAAUAGAAAACCAACGAAAGGGGACGUGAAACAGUUCCCGGAAGGCGGAUUUAGCAGUAAAGCGGGACAAUAAAGCCCCCUUUAAGCUGGCCCUGAGGCACGUACAUACCGCCCGUCACCCUCC